Unclassified non-coding RNA from Macaca fascicularis (crab-eating macaque), 153 nucleotides. It matches the Rfam family "Metazoan signal recognition particle RNA". Rfam says of the family: The signal recognition particle (SRP) is a universally conserved ribonucleoprotein. It is involved in the co-translational targeting of proteins to membranes. Lineage: Eukaryota; Metazoa; Chordata; Mammalia; Primates; Cercopithecidae. The record is from Ensembl.
GCUGGGUGUAGUGGUGCACACCUGUAGUCCCAGCUACUCGGGAGGCUGAGGCAGGAGGAUCACCUGAGCCUGGGAGUUCAAGGUUGCAGUGAGCCAUGAUCACACCAUGCCACUUCUCUCCAGCCUGGGCAACAGAGUGAGACCUUGUCUCUU